This is a non-coding RNA of Vicia faba (fava bean), 255 nucleotides long. NCBI's taxonomy places the organism in Eukaryota, Viridiplantae, Streptophyta, Magnoliopsida, Fabales, Fabaceae. The record is from the annotation of a GenBank genome assembly.
AUGUGGUUAGGAUUGUACGUUGUGAUUCUGGAGAAGGACGAGCUCGUUGCCGGUGGGACUCAUGAGUUUUCUGAUGAAGAUAAAAUGAAACGCGAGACUAAGCUGGAAUUCUCCCCGGAAGAAGAAGAUAUAGUUGCAAAAAUGUUUAGAUUGGUUGGAAAAAGAUGGCAUCUCAUUGCUGGAAGGAUUCCAGGAAGAAGCGCAGAAGAUAUUGAAAAAUAUUGGAACUCAAAGUUUUCUUCUUCAACUGCAUAA